GUAGGUGGCAAGCGUUGUCCGGAACUUAUUGGGCGUAAAGCGCGCGCAGGCGGUUCUUUAAGUCUGAUGUGAAAGCCCACGGCUCAACCGUGGAGGGUCAUUGGAAACUGGAGAACUUGAGUACAGAAGAGGAAAGCGGAAUUCCACGUGUAGCGGUGAAAUGCGUAGAGAUGUGGAGGAACACCAGUGGCGAAGGCGGCUUUCUGGUCUGUAACUGACGCUGAGGCGCGAAAGCGUGGGGAGCAAACAGGGAUUAGAUACCCUGGUAGUCCACGCCGUAAACGAUGAGUGCUAAGUGUUAGGGGGUUUUCCGCCCCCUUAGUGCUGCAGCUAACGCAUUAAGCACUCCGCCUGGGGAGUACGGCCGCAAGGCUG
RNAcentral lists this ribosomal RNA (375 nucleotides) under uncultured organism. Its description in RNAcentral is "partial 16S ribosomal RNA". It matches the Rfam family "Bacterial small subunit ribosomal RNA", at positions 527 to 896 of the family's 1533-position model. The record is from RNAcentral.